This 49-nucleotide non-coding RNA is filed under the name Isoptericola dokdonensis. Its description in RNAcentral is "Guanidine-II sequence". It matches the Rfam family "Guanidine-II riboswitch aptamer (mini-ykkC)". Rfam says of the family: Simpler in structure and has fewer highly conserved nucleotide positions than the ykkC-yxkD leader. Despite this each of its two stem-loop structures directly bind free guanidine. RNAcentral also lists the same sequence under 1 other name. The record is from RNAcentral. Lineage: Bacteria; Bacillati; Actinomycetota; Actinomycetes; Micrococcales; Promicromonosporaceae.
CGCACCGGACGGUCGGUGCGGGCUCUCGACGUACGCCGGGACGGCCCGG